Molecule: unclassified non-coding RNA, 226 nt
Filed under: Ambisporaceae sp.
Lineage: Eukaryota; Fungi; Glomeromycota; Glomeromycetes; Archaeosporales; Ambisporaceae
Description: partial contains 5.8S ribosomal RNA and internal transcribed spacer 2
Rfam family: 5.8S ribosomal RNA (bases 1-71)
Source: RNAcentral
GUGAAUCAUCAAAUUUUUGAACGCAUAUUGCACUCUCUGGGAAUCCGGUGAGUAUGCCUAUUUGAGGGUCAUUUGAGUUGAUAUAAAUUCUAAGAUUUCUCGGAGUUUAUAAUGGGUUGUGCAUUUUUUGUGGUCGCUUAAAUUCGAAGACAAGCUCAUUUUCUUGGUUUGCUUGAUACUUUCAGUUACUUUGUGAUUUAACCAUUAAUGAUCGGGCGUUUUUUGG